This 449-nucleotide ribosomal RNA is filed under the name uncultured bacterium. RNAcentral describes it as "partial 16S ribosomal RNA". It matches the Rfam family "Bacterial small subunit ribosomal RNA", at positions 29 to 523 of the family's 1533-position model. The record is from RNAcentral.
AACGAACGCUGGCGGCAUGCCUAACACAUGCAAGUCGAACGAGAUCUUCGGGUCUAGUGGCGCACGGGUGCGUAACGCGUGGGAAUCUGCCCCUUGGUUCGGAAUAACAGUUGGAAACGACUGCUAAUACCGGAUGAUGACGAAAGUCCAAAGAUUUAUCGCCAGAGGAUGAGCCCGCGUAGGAUUAGCUAGUUGGUGUGGUAAAGGCGCACCAAGGCGACGAUCCUUAGCUGGUCUGAGAGGAUGAUCAGCCACACUGGGACUGAGACACGGCCCAGACUCCUACGGGAGGCAGCAGUGGGGAAUAUUGGACAAUGGGCGAAAGCUUGAUCCAGCAAUGCCGCGUGAGUGAUGAAGGCCUUAGGGUUGUAAAGCUCUUUUACCCGGGAUGAUAAUGACAGUACCGGGAGAAUAAGCUCCGGCUAACUCCGUGCCAGCCGCCGCGGUAA